Molecule: long non-coding RNA, 659 nt
Organism: Zingiber officinale
Lineage: Eukaryota; Viridiplantae; Streptophyta; Magnoliopsida; Zingiberales; Zingiberaceae
Exons: 2
Source: RefSeq, a predicted model, not a curated record
ACCAGCUGGGCUGCGCGUGUUUUAUUAACCUAGCAUGGAGAGAAAUAGAUUUAAGCAUAGUUGGAAAUCGAAUUAAAACUAAGUUAUAAAGGGUUAAGUGAUUUUUCCGUGACCUAAACCUAAGCCUUUUCCUCUCUUUUUCUUUCCCGACGGCGCGAUUCUCCUCUCGGGCGAAAACCACAGCCAAGGCGAGGGUUCCUCCUCUCGGCGUCGGCGAGGCGUUUUCCGGCCGGUCUCCACCCGUGGGUGACCUUUCCGGCAAGGAAAGCUUGGGGAACACAAGGAAAAGGGAGAAACCGAAGCUCUACCGAAAACCUAGGGCCCUCCUCGUGUUGUAAGUCCAAGAACCACCGCGAUACAGAUAAGAGUAAAGGAAAAGCUAAAGUGUUAUAGAGGAAGGCGACAAGGAGAUGUUGGUGGUGUGUGUGUGAUGCCGGAUAUGGAAGCUUGGGACCUUACUAGAAGAGUUUAGAAAUUGUAUUUGCUGGUGUUUAUGUUACUGUUAGAGUAGAAUUUAUUUUGCAUUACUAAUUUCGUUAUCUUCCUGUCAUUUAGUUGGAAUAACUGUUAAGCUGAGAACAUGUUCCUUUUUCCUUAUUCUGGCUUAGUUUUCAAGUUUUGUGAAGUAAGAUCAUAUCUGAUUGGAGUUUGAUUUUUUU